CCUACGGGGGACAGCAGUGGGGAAUAUUGCACAAUGGGGGAAACCCUGAUGCAGCAAUGCCGCGUGGGUGAAGAAGGAUUUCGGUUUGUAAAGCCCUAUCAGCAGGGAAGAGAAUGACGGUACCUGACUAUAAAGCCCCUGCUAACUAUGUGCCAGCAGCCGCGGUAAUACGUAGGGGGCAAGCGUUAUCCGGAUUUACGGGGUGUAAAGGGAGCGUAGACGGUUGUGCAAGUCUGAUGUGAAAGCCCGCGGCUCAACUGCGGAACGGCUUUGGAAACUGUGUAGCUGGAGUGCUGGAGAGGUAGGCGGAAUGCCAGGUGUAGGAGUGAAAUGCGUAGAUAUCUGGAGGAACAUCAAUGGCGAAGGCAGCUAUCUGGGACAUAACUGACGCUGAGGAGCGAAAGCGUGGGUAGCAAACAGGAUUAGAUACCCGAGUAGUC
This 440-nucleotide ribosomal RNA is filed under the name uncultured bacterium. Its description in RNAcentral is "partial 16S ribosomal RNA". It matches the Rfam family "Bacterial small subunit ribosomal RNA", at positions 338 to 795 of the family's 1533-position model. The record is from RNAcentral.